CAGUAGCCGCGGGAAUACGUAGGGUACAAGCGUUAAUCGGAAUUACUGGGCGUAAAGCGUGCGCAGGCGGUUUGUUAAGACAGAUGUGAAAUCCCCGGGCUCAACCUGGGAACUGCAUUUGUGACUGGCAAGCUAGAGUAUGGCAGAGGGGGGUGGAAUUCCGCGUGUAGCAGUGAAAUGCGUAGAUAUGCGGAGGAACACCGAUGGCGAAGGCAGCCCCCUGGGCCAAUACUGACGCUCAUGCACGAAAGCGUGGGGAGCAAACAGGAUUAGAUACCCGCGUAGUCCCUGUCUCUUAUAC
Molecule: ribosomal RNA, 301 nt
Filed under: uncultured bacterium
Lineage: Bacteria
Description: partial 16S ribosomal RNA
Rfam family: Bacterial small subunit ribosomal RNA
Source: RNAcentral